RNAcentral lists this ribosomal RNA (416 nucleotides) under uncultured bacterium. RNAcentral describes it as "bacterial SSU rRNA". It matches the Rfam family "Bacterial small subunit ribosomal RNA", at positions 29 to 436 of the family's 1533-position model. The record is from RNAcentral.
AAUGAACGCUGGCGGCGCGCCUAAUACAUGCAAGUCGAGCGAGAAGACGUAGCAAUACGUUUGUAAAGCGGCGAACGGGUGAGGAAUACAUGGGUAACCUACCCUCGAGUGGGGAAUAACUAGCCGAAAGGUUAGCUAAUACCGCGUACGCCUCUUGGACUUCGGUUCAGGGAGGAAAGCGAUGCCGAGGGUAUCGCGCUCUUGGAUGGGCUCAUGUCCUAUCAGCUUGUUGGGAGGUAACGGCUCACCAAGGCUUCGACGGGUAGCUGGUCUGAGAGGACGACCAGCCACACUGGCACUGCGACACGGGCCAGACUCCUACGGGAGGCAGCAGUAAGGAAUAUUGCGCAAUGGGCGAAAGCCUGACGCAGCGACGCCGCGUGGGGGAUGAAGGUCUUCGGAUUGUAAACCCCUUU